RNAcentral lists this ribosomal RNA (531 nucleotides) under uncultured bacterium. RNAcentral's name for it is "bacterial SSU rRNA". It matches the Rfam family "Bacterial small subunit ribosomal RNA", at positions 978 to 1509 of the family's 1533-position model. The record is from RNAcentral.
CUCUUGACACCCAGCGAACUUUCCAGAGAUGGAUUGGUGCCUUCGGGAACGCUGAGACAGGUGCUGCAUGGCUGUCGUCAGCUCGUGUUGUGAAAUGUUGGGUUAAGUCCCGNAACGAGCGCAACCCUUAUCCUUUGUUGCCAGCGAUUCGGUCGGGAACUCAAAGGAGACUGCCGGUGAUAAACCGGAGGAAGGUGGGGAUGACGUCAAGUCAUCAUGGCCCUUACGAGUAGGGCUACACACGUGCUACAAUGGCGCAUACAAAGAGAGGCGACCUCGCGAGAGCAAGCGGACCUCAUAAAGUGCGUCGUAGUCCGGAUCGGAGUCUGCAACUCGACUCCGUGAAGUCGGAAUCGCUAGUAAUCGUGGAUCAGAAUGCCACGGUGAAUACGUUCCCGGGCCUUGUACACACCGCCCGUCACACCAUGGGAGUGGGUUGCAAAAGAAGUAGGUAGCUUAACCUUCGGGAGGGCGCUUACCACUUUGUGAUUCAUGACUGGGGUGAAGUCGUAACAAGGUAAGCGUAGCGAG